UUUGCAGUUGAAGCUGAUGACCAGCAGCUGACUACAGCUCUGGAGGCUGAGGAGCAAGUGGGAUGACUCUGAGCUGUCCAAGGGAGAUCUACAAGCAACUUGCAAGUGUCCCUGUAGUUUUCCAGUGUGCCAUUUUUUUAUUACUGGAAGGAAGAUAAUACCUCUUGCUGAACUUCUCACCACUGUCGACCAGAACAGCGGUAGGCCUGGCCACCGCAGAGAGCAAAGCCAACACAAAGGCCUGAGCAAACAGCCAAAGGACAGUGAUAGAGCAUCAGACCUGUAUGAGUUAUUAUAGAGAUGAACAGAGUCAAGUACAGCUUUGACCUCUCCUGAAGGUGUCUGCUCAAUGAGUUCCUCAUGUUCAAGGAGCAGUACACAUAUGGAUGUUGAGGAAAACCAUGGGAUUCCCUACAGAUGAUGUUCUGCACAUAUAAUUUCCUACAGGGGAGAAAGCACCUUGAGCCUGAAGUUCUUUGGUUUUUUGACUACAUAAAGGCAUAAAGAUUGCUGUUGUGGCCUGCUUUCUUGAGAUGCUGAGCAGCCAUAAAUUCAUGUGAAGUCGAGGAAGCCGUAUGUACUACUG
Chiroxiphia lanceolata (lance-tailed manakin) is the source of this 586-nucleotide long non-coding RNA. RefSeq lists it as uncharacterized. NCBI's taxonomy places the organism in Eukaryota, Metazoa, Chordata, Aves, Passeriformes, Pipridae. The transcript is spliced from 5 exons. The record is from RefSeq and is a predicted model, not a curated record.